RNAcentral lists this ribosomal RNA (200 nucleotides) under uncultured bacterium. RNAcentral's name for it is "partial 16S ribosomal RNA". It matches the Rfam family "Bacterial small subunit ribosomal RNA", at positions 30 to 233 of the family's 1533-position model. The record is from RNAcentral.
AUUGAACGCUGGCGGCAGGCCUAACACAUGCAAGUCGAGCGCGAAAGUUCUUCGGAAUGAGUAAAGCGGCGGACGGGUGAGUAAAACAUGGGAAUCUGCCUGGUAGUGGGGGACAACGUUUCGAAAGAAACGCUAAUACCGCAUACGCCCUACGGGGGAAAGGGGGGGAUCUUCGGACCUCUCGCUAUCAGAUGAGCCCA